Molecule: transfer RNA, 66 nt
Filed under: human gut metagenome
Also listed under: 2 other names
Rfam family: tRNA
About the family: Transfer RNA (tRNA) molecules are approximately 80 nucleotides in length. Their secondary structure includes four short double-helical elements and three loops (D, anti-codon, and T loops). Further hydrogen bonds mediate the characteristic L-shaped molecular structure. tRNAs have two regions of fundamental functional importance: the anti-codon, which is responsible for specific mRNA codon recognition, and the 3' end, to which the tRNAs corresponding amino acid is attached (by aminoacyl-tRNA synthetases). tRNAs cope with the degeneracy of the genetic code in two manners: having more than one tRNA (with a specific anti-codon) for a particular amino acid; and 'wobble' base-pairing, i.e. permitting non-standard base-pairing at the 3rd anti-codon position.
Source: RNAcentral
CCGUAGCUCAAUUGGAUAGAGCAUCUGACUACGGAUCAGAAGGUUGUAAGUUCGAAUCCUGCCGGG